UUUCUCUCCUCUUAAUAAGCCGCUCCUCCUCUCUGAAUAUGUCUGAUCUUUUUCCUUUCCUCUUCAAGAAAAGUUACAGACCUCUUUAACUAUGGAUGAAGUUUGCUUCGCCAUUGUCUUGUCGUGGCUCGUCUAAGUAUGGCUAAUCUGAAUUAUGUUAUCCCUGUUUUCCUAAAAAUAAGUAAAACUUGACCUCUUGCUCGGUGCUUGUUUGACACAGUUUUGUAUGUGCGUCACAGGUUCUGUCUUCACUGUGUGUUAACGCCUUCGCUAUUUAUUAAGUUUAAUAAAAUAUAUAUUAGCGAUAUUCCUCUCCCCUUUCCCCAUUUCACGUCUUUGUUGUAUGAUAUUAUGAUUAUCUUAAAGAGAUCACGUUUUGUGAGUAAAGUUUACUUUGCUUAGUUAAAUUAACUUGUGAUGUUACAAAAAUG
This 431-nucleotide long non-coding RNA is filed under the name Capsicum annuum. Its description in RNAcentral is "long non-coding RNA (CANN_LNC016823)". The record is from RNAcentral. Lineage: Eukaryota; Viridiplantae; Streptophyta; Magnoliopsida; Solanales; Solanaceae.